This 2225-nucleotide ribosomal RNA is filed under the name Mycoplasma sphenisci. Its description in RNAcentral is "bacterial LSU rRNA". The stretch from base 1 to 1484 matches the Rfam family "Bacterial small subunit ribosomal RNA". The record is from RNAcentral. Lineage: Bacteria; Bacillati; Mycoplasmatota; Mollicutes; Mycoplasmatales; Mycoplasmataceae.
AACGCUGGCUGUGUGCCUAAUACAUGCAUGUCGAACGCUGCUAGCAAUAGCAGAGUGGCAAAUGGGUGAGUAACACGUACUUAACGUACCUCUUAGAUUGGUAUAACGACCAGAAAUGGUCGCUAAUUCCAAAUACUUGUAUUUCUCGCAUGAGAGAUACAUAAAAGGAGCUUUCAAGCUUCACUAAGAGAUCGGGGUGCGCAACAUUAGUUAGUUGGUAGGGUAAUGGCCUACCAAGACGAUGAUGUUUAGCGGGGUUGAGAGACUGAACCGCCACACUGGGACUGAGAUACGGCCCAGACUCCUACGGGAGGCAGCAGUAGGGAAUAUUCCACAAUGAGCGAAAGCUUGAUGGAGCGACACAGCGUGCUUGAUGAAGGCCUUCGGGUUGUAAAGAGCUGUGGUAAGGGAAGAAAAAGUAGUAUAGGAAAUGAUAUUACCUUGACGGUACCUUACUAGAAAGCAACGGCUAACUAUGUGCCAGCAGCCGCGGUAAUACAUAGGUUGCAAGCGUUAUCCGGAAUUAUUGGGCGUAAAGCGUCUGUAGGUUGUGUGUUAAGUCUGGCGUUAAAUUUUGGGGCUCAACCCCAACACGCGUUGGAUACUGGCAUACUAGAGUUAUGUAGAGGUUAGCGGAAUUCCUUGUGAAGCGGUGAAAUGCGUAGAUAUAAGGAAGAACACCAAAAUGGCGAAGGCAGCUAACUGGACAUACACUGACACUGAGAGACGAAAGCGUGGGGAGCAAACAGGAUUAGAUACCCUGGUAGUCCACGCCGUAAACGAUGAUCAUUAGCUGAUGGGGGAACUUCAUCGGCGCAGCUAACGCAUUAAAUGAUCCGCCUGAGUAGUAUGCUCGCAAGAGUAAAACUUAAAGGAAUUGACGGGGACCCGCACAAGCGGUGGAGCAUGUGGUUUAAUUUGAAGAUACGCGUAGAACCUUACCCACUCUUGACAUCUUCCGCAAAGCUAUAGAGAUAUAGUGGAGGUUAACGGAAUGACAGAUGGUGCAUGGUUGUCGUCAGCUCGUGUCGUGAGAUGUUUGGUUAAGUCCUGCAACGAGCGCAACCCUUAUCCUUAGUUACUACAUUAAGUUGAGGACUCUAAGGAGACUGCCCGAGUAAUCGGGAGGAAGGUGGGGACGACGUCAAAUCAUCAUGCCUCUUACGAGUGGGGCAACACACGUGCUACAAUGGGCGAUACAAAGAGAUGCAAUAUGGUGACAUGGAGCAAACCUCAAAAAAUCGCUCUCAGUUCGGAUUGGAGUCUGCAACUCGACUCCAUGAAGUCGGAAUCGCUAGUAAUCGUAGAUCAGCUACGCUACGGUGAAUACGUUCUCGGGUCUUGUACACACCGCCCGUCACACCAUGGGAGCUGGUAAUACCCGAAGUCGGUUUAUAAACAAACUGCCUAAGGUAGGACUGGUGACUGGGGUGAAGUCGUAACAAGGUAUCCCUACGAGAACGUGGGGAUGGAUCACCUCCUUUCUACGGAGUACAUACUUAACGUUUUUUAAUGACCUAUUAACUUAUAUAUCUGUUAUGUUGCUUUUUUAUGGUCGAAGCUUGUAUCUAGUUUUGAGAGUACAACUCUCAUUGUUCUUUGAAAACUGAAUAGUAGUAAUUUAAGAAUAUUACAACGACAUCAAAAAUAGAAUUAAUUAAAUGGUUAAUUUGUUUUGAUUCAUCGAGUAAUCAUAGAUAUAUGAUUCAUUGAAAUGUCUUAAAAUACACAUCAUAAUAAAUCAAUAGGAAAAUACUUUUAAAUAAGUAAGAGUUUGUGGUGGAUGCCUUGGGUCUGAAAGUCGAUGAAGGACGUGAUUACCUGCGAUAAGCCUCGUGGAGCCGGAUAUGUGCUAUGAAACGGGGAUUUCCGAAUGGGGAAACCUAACUAGGGUUAUGCCUAGUUGCAAAUGCGAGACACCUUGUGAACUGAAACAUCUUAGUAGCAAGAGGAAAAGAAAAUAAAUAAUGAUUUCUUCAGUAGCGGCGAGCGAACGAGAAAGAGCCCAAACCACUUUUUAAAGUGGGGUUGUAGGACAAUCUACAUAGAGUUACAAACCUUAAUGAUAGCAGAAGCUUUUGGGAAGAAGCGACAUAGAGGGUGAUAUCCCCGUAUGCGAAAUUGUUAAGGCUCUUGAUUGUAUCCUGAGUAGGGCGGGGCACGUGAAACCCUGUCUGAAUCUGCCGGGACCACCCGGUAAGGCUAAAUACUAAUCAGACACCGAU